CUUUUCGGUGGGUCGCAGAAUUCGGUGUAACAACGGGACUCACUGCUCGAAGAUGUGACGUUCGGCUCAGCUGCACUUGGAGGUUAUGAUGCAUCACUCGAUUUUUACGGAUGAUUCAAAGCCAGAAGUCAAACGCUGCACAACUUGCUGCACACUUUUCCACUGCCCCCUAUGCCCAACUUUCAAACCAACCAUCAACACGAAGCUUCAGUGCCACCUGGAAUCCCACAUAAAACAUUCCAUUACAUUUAAAGACAAAAAGAUAUGCAGGUGCAACCUCAGCUGCAGGGAUGGGGGACAUUAUCAUUGCCCCCUUUAUGGCAAAACGAUCAUCAGGAAGUCGGUUAUGGAUCUACACCUGAAGUCCUGCACAAACACGCAAGACAGUCCCUCCACCUCCGCUGCCGUCCAUACAUCCAAUCAAAACCCCAUCACAGUCAAGACAGCCACCACAUCUCCAGCUCCGACUGCUCCUUCUCCCCAAGCUUCAACUGUUGUGUCUUCCUCUGCCGUCUCUGCUGCCCAGAGUAAAAGUACAACCGGUUUGAAAAAAGGAAAAUGCCCGCACUGUAAAUUAACUUUCUAUAAGAAAAACAUAGAAAAACACACACACACACACACGUGUGUGUGUGUCUGUGUGUGUGUGUGUGUGUGUGUGUGUGUGUGUGUGUGUGUGUGUGUGUGUGUGUGUUGAGGUUCUGAGUUCAGUUAUCUGUUGAGUGUUCUUAAUAAAGUGUUAUAACGUUUACAAUGUA
Molecule: long non-coding RNA, 755 nt
Organism: Gadus morhua (Atlantic cod)
Lineage: Eukaryota; Metazoa; Chordata; Actinopteri; Gadiformes; Gadidae
Exons: 3
Source: RefSeq, a predicted model, not a curated record